AUUGAACGCUGGCGGCAGGCUUAACACAUGCAAGUCGAGCGAGCGGCGGACGGGUGAGUAAUGUCUGGGAAACUGCCUGAUGGAGGGGGAUAACUACUGGAAACGGUAGCUAAUACCGCAUACCAUCAGAUGUGCCCAGAUGGGAUUAUCUAGUAGGUGGGGUACUGGGUCACCUAGGCGACGAGCCGCAGCUGGUCUGAGAGGAUGACAAGCAACACUGGAACGGAGACACGGUCCAGACUACUACGUGAGUGAGCAGUGGGGAAUAUUGCACAAUGGGCGAAAGCCAGAUGCCGCCAUGCCGCGUGUGUGAAGAAGGCCUUCGGGUUGUAAAGCACGUUCAGAGAGGAGGCGUUACUCGCAGAAGAAGCACCGGCUAACUCCGUGCCAACAGCCGCGGUAAUAC
This 406-nucleotide ribosomal RNA is filed under the name uncultured bacterium. Its description in RNAcentral is "partial 16S ribosomal RNA". It matches the Rfam family "Bacterial small subunit ribosomal RNA", at positions 30 to 526 of the family's 1533-position model. The record is from RNAcentral.